This 742-nucleotide ribosomal RNA is filed under the name uncultured Capnocytophaga sp. RNAcentral describes it as "bacterial SSU rRNA". It matches the Rfam family "Bacterial small subunit ribosomal RNA", at positions 28 to 776 of the family's 1533-position model. Lineage: Bacteria; Pseudomonadati; Bacteroidota; Flavobacteriia; Flavobacteriales; Flavobacteriaceae. The record is from RNAcentral.
GAUGAACGCUAGCGGCAGGCUAACACAUGCAAGUCGAGGGAGAAGCCUUCGGGCUGAAACCGGCGCACGGGUGCGUAACGCGUAUACAAUCUGCCUUUCACAUAGGGAUAGCCCGAAGAAAUUUGGAUUAAUACCUAAUGGUAUAUAGGAGCGGCAUCGUUUUUAUAUUAAAGCUACGGUGGUGAAAGGUGAGUAUGCGUUCUAUUAGCUAGUUGGAGAGGUAACGGCUCCCCAAGGCGACGAUAGAUAGGGGUUCUGAGAGGGAUGUCCCCCACACUGGUACUGAGAUACGGACCAGACUCCUACGGGAGGCAGCAGUGAGGAAUAUUGGACAAUGGUCGGAAGACUGAUCCAGCCAUGCCGCGUGCAGGAUGAAGGUCCUAUGGAUUGUAAACUGCUUUUGUAAGGGAAGAAUAAGGGGUACGUGUACUUUGAUGACGGUACCUUACGAAUAAGCAUCGGCUAACUCCGUGCCAGCAGCCGCGGUAAUACGGAGGAUGCGAGCGUUAUCCGGAAUCAUUGGGUUUAAAGGGUCCGUAGGCGGGCUAAUAAGUCAGAGGUGAAAGCGUUCAGCUCAACUGAGCAACUGCCUUUGAAACUGUUAGUCUUGAAUGAUUGUGAAGUAGUUGGAAUGUGUAGUGUAGCGGUGAAAUGCUUAGAUAUUACACAGAACACCGAUAGCGAAGGCAUAUUACUAACAAUUUAUUGACGCUGAUGGACGAAAGCGUGGGGAGCGAACAGG